Non-coding RNA from Podarcis lilfordi (Lilford's wall lizard), 169 nucleotides. Lineage: Eukaryota; Metazoa; Chordata; Lepidosauria; Squamata; Lacertidae. The record is from the annotation of a GenBank genome assembly.
AAGAACGGACCUCCGGAACGAAUUAAGUUCUUAACCAGAGGUACCACUGUAUCAGACUUUUAGAAGACAUCUGAAGGCAGCCCUGUUUAGGGAAGUUUUUGAUGUUUGAUGUUUUAUCGUGUUUUUAAUACAGUGGUACCUUGGGUUAAGUACUUAAUUUGUUCCGGAG